This 301-nucleotide ribosomal RNA is filed under the name uncultured bacterium. RNAcentral's name for it is "partial 16S ribosomal RNA". It matches the Rfam family "Bacterial small subunit ribosomal RNA", at positions 509 to 808 of the family's 1533-position model. The record is from RNAcentral.
CAGUAGCCGCGGUAAUACGUAGGUCCCGAGCGUUGUCCGGAUUUAUUGGGCGUAAAGCGAGCGCAGGCGGUUAGAUAAGUCUGAAGUUAAAGGCUGUGGCUUAACCAUAGUACGCUUUGGAAACUGUUUAACUUGAGUGCAGAAGGGGAGAGUGGAAUUCCAUGUGUAGCGGUGAAAUGCGUAGAUAUAUGGAGGAACACCGGUGGCGAAAGCGGCUCUCUGGUCUGUAACUGACGCUGAGGCUCGAAAGCGUGGGGAGCGAACAGGAUUAGAUACCCGCGUAGUCCCUGUCUCUUAUACA